CCAAAGAAAAUGAACCUGACUUGGUGGCCAUAGCUCAAAAGGAAGCGGAGAAUGAUGCCAAAGCGGAGGAGCGCUUUAGAGGAGCCCUCGAGGAGCUGAAAUCACAAAAGCUCAAAGACAGUGAGAUGCAAAACCGGUACACUUCAGAUGUGAGAGACAGAAUGUGAAAACAAAAAUCCAGGAAUUCACAUUGUAGGAAUUUUAAAUAAUUUAUCUGUAAAUUAAGGUGGAAAAUAAGUAUUUGGUCAAUAACAAAAAUUCAACUCAAUACUUUGUAAUAUAACCCCACGGGAUGAGAUCUUGCAUGGAGCCCCAGAGCGAGGGAGAUUAUCAGUGGUCUUGUAUGUCUUCCAUUUUCUGAUAAUUGCUCCCACAGUUAUUUUUUUCACACCAAGCUGCUUGCCUAUUGUAGAUUCACUCUUCCCAGUUUGGUGCAGGUCUACAAUUCUUUUCCUGGUGUCCUUCGACAGCUCUUUGGUCUUGGCCAUAGUGGAGUGCGGAGUCUGACUGUUUGAGGCCGUGGACAGGGGUCUUUUAUACAGAUAACGAGUUCAAACAGGUUCCAUUAUUACAAGUAACGAGUGGAGGACAGACGAGCUUCUUAAAGAAGAAGUUACAGGUCUGUGAGAGUCAGGGAUCUUCCUUGUUUGAAGUGACCAAAUACUUAUUUUCCACCAUAAUUUACAAAUAAAUUCUUUAAAAUUCCUACAGUGUGAAUUCUUGAAUU
Long non-coding RNA from Nerophis ophidion (straightnose pipefish), 727 nucleotides. RefSeq lists it as uncharacterized. The record is from RefSeq and is a predicted model, not a curated record. Lineage: Eukaryota; Metazoa; Chordata; Actinopteri; Syngnathiformes; Syngnathidae. The transcript is spliced from 3 exons.